UACGGAGGGUGCAAGCGUUGUCCGGAUUUACUGGGCGUAAAGAGCGUGUAGGCGGCCAAGCAGGUCCGUUGUGAAAACUGGAGGCUUAACCUCCAGACGUCGACGGAAACCGCGUGGCUAGAGUCCGGAAGAGGAGAGUGGAAUUCCUGGUGUAGCGGUGAAAUGCGCAGAUAUCAGGAAGAACACCAAUGGCGAAGGCAGCUCUCUGGGACGGUACUGACGCUGAGACGCGAAAGCGUGGGGAGCGAACAGG
RNAcentral lists this ribosomal RNA (253 nucleotides) under uncultured bacterium. RNAcentral's name for it is "partial 16S ribosomal RNA". It matches the Rfam family "Bacterial small subunit ribosomal RNA", at positions 524 to 776 of the family's 1533-position model. The record is from RNAcentral.